UGUCCUCUCGUCUUGCACGCGGAACCUACAACGGUGGGCUGCUAUCGACGGAAGCUGGAACGCUGGCUCGGGUCGUUGCGGACGGUACAAUCACACUAGCGGGCUAUUUGGGCGAAAGCCAUCUCCUGAAUGUCACCCUCUUGCCUUCGCUGGUCAUCUGCAUUGUGUCAAUUGCUGCCACCUUCCUUACAUACAAUACUCUUUAUUGAUUAUCAGGUAGUAUUUAUUUUUGUUUUCCUUUUAUCAUUUAUUAUCAUUUUAAAUUUUGCCGAUUGUAAAGGCUGUACAGUGGGAACCACUCUAUUGAAUUUAUGACCUUUGGAAAUGUAUUUG
This 333-nucleotide unclassified non-coding RNA is filed under the name Hevea brasiliensis (rubber tree). Lineage: Eukaryota; Viridiplantae; Streptophyta; Magnoliopsida; Malpighiales; Euphorbiaceae. The record is from RNAcentral.